AAAUGAUCACGGAUGUUUCUUGUAUAUGACUUUUAAUUUUCGCCCUGUCUGUCUGAUGUUAUGGCGUAAAUCUAAUUUUUCUCAUUGCUGAUAUAAUUCAUACUGAAGAGGGCGAUAUGCCGAAAAGAACCAGUUUUUAUGGACCAACCCUAGGAAGAGUAAGGAUCAAAUUACAGACGAAAAUCUAACAAAAGGAUUCCUCAAAAAGUUGAUAAAAGCACUUUGAACACUUUCAACACGGAGGCCGAUCGGCCCUGAAGUACCUGCGUCCCGACCCUUUUCGACUCGUUGACUUGACCUGGCUCCAUGAGGCGUCCGUCGAAAAAUAAUAUCCUGCACACAAAAUCAGUAGCAAGAAGGUGAAAGGCAUGUGUAGGCG
Molecule: long non-coding RNA, 379 nt
Filed under: Cimex lectularius (bed bug)
Lineage: Eukaryota; Metazoa; Arthropoda; Insecta; Hemiptera; Cimicidae
Description: uncharacterized LOC106670098, transcript variant X1
Source: RNAcentral